AGCUUCAACACAGUGCAGUGUCUCCUGCCCAGGACGAUCACGUGAGUCCCACUCCUUGUUGACAUGUCAAGAUGACACUCCACAUUGACACUGAAACUGCCUUCCCAGGCCCUGGUCUAGAAUAAGCUCCUGUGCUUUGACAGCUCCUGCCCUCACCCCUGUCCCUGAUGGCCCUCACCUCCUCUGACCUCCUGCAGUGACUCUGCAUUCCCACUUGCCAUCUGCCUUUCUUCUCAGCUCAGCCUCCUGAGCCCUGUGGCCGCUGCACCCUGUGCAGCCUUUCCACAAGCUGCAUGUAUAACCCUGUGAAGCAUCAAGUGGCCCUCGAGAAUUCCUAAUAUUCUAAGUUAAGAUUGGGAUAAAAGAACCUGUGACUGCCUAGCUUAUGACACCAGGUGACCCAUGAGUACCCAGUGAACUGUCACUGCUGGACGUGGUGUCACCUAGGAAUUCACCGUUGUUCCUCAACUCUGACGCUGUGGAGAGACACGGCUCAUUCUGGCUCACGUCUGGCAGGGGCCCCACCUGCAGGGUCCUGGCCUUCUCUCGCCUCCUCCCAACAUCCAGCUGCUUUCACUCUCUUCUCAAAUCACAUGUCAAGUCUCCAGGACAAUGACCCUCUGGCCUAGCUGAGGGGGCACAUGGGCAGGGGUCCCAACCAGCCCUAGGCCCUUACUACUACUGGGAUCUCCAGGGUGACCUCAGGAAGCACUUUGAUUCUGACCCAGGGGUCCCCUGUUCUCUGAAGUGGAGGGAAAGAAGCCAACCCAGGGGUCCUUGGGCAACUGCCAGUCCUGGAUCUCCCCAGGGACACCCCCUUGCCCCCACUCUAGCUCAUCCCUUGGGCUUGGCUCCACACUGGAGGGUGCCCCUGGCAGGGACUGCAGAGGUGUGUCCCCGAGAGCCUGGGGCCUGGUUGGCCGCCCUGCCGCUGGAUCCAGUCCCCUCUUGCCAGACCUCUCUGGUCCUCAGGCCUGUGCUCUGUCCUGGACAAGCUGGAGAUUCACCCUGGACCUGGCCUGGGGGUGCAGGGCAGUCAGGGCAGAGGACAGAGCUGAUCUUAUGUGACAUCUGUCCAAGAAAGGUCUGUGCCUUUGAAUAGUUAGCACACACAGUGUGGCCUCCACCAGAGCCAAGGGCAGGAGCAGCCAGGCAGAGGGCAGAUAGGGCUGGAGGACCUUGAGGGACAAGGACGAGGGGCUACGGUCUGGGACAGGCAGCGGCUGGGCUCAGUCCACCUGGUUCCCCACUAUAAGGUCCUGGCUUAGCAUCUGGAUGGCCAUCUUAAGUGACAGAUGCCACUUUAAGGAAAAAGUUUCACUUUUCCGCCCGGAGGGAAAGGCUCACCACCUCCUCUACCAUCCCAACCCUUCACCCCCACAUUAGGACCCACCUGGCUCUGAUUCCUGAGCCUUCCCCAUAAAAGUCCCAAAACCCAAGCCUGUUUUGCCCUCUCCACUAGAGGUCAGCUCUGACAAAUAAACGCUGGUGUGCAUCUCUGCCUGCUCUCCGUCUUCAUUUCCCACUUACCGUCUCUCGUUCCUCACUUUCCCUUCACUUUGGUGCCAAAACCCAGGAUUGGGUUCCCUGGUGUGCCUGCUCCCCUCUUCCAGGGUCAUUGAGCAUCCCCAGGCCCCGAUGAGGAUUCCAUCGUGAGACCAGGCCUUCCAUUUUGCUGAACACCCUCUCUGCACCCACCACCAGACAUUCCAGGUAAGACCCCUGUCUCCGGUUGACCUAAAUGACCUACGGACCUGGGAAGUGACUGUGCGUCCAGCACUCCCAGGUUACCGUGUGGUCGGGGGCACCCCCAGCCCCAGCUUUCACAGCUACGGCUGAUCCCUACUGUCGACCAACUGGGACUACAGGUGCUCUGUUAUUUGGGUCCUGGGUUUUGAGAAAAAACCACCGAGGGUGACUGGGAGUUGUUCCUGGUGAGAACUUUUAGGCCUUGGGUUCAUCUCUACAGCUUCUGCCCCACUACGUAGUCCCGGCCAGGCACCCAAGUGCCUCUAUGGGUUCCUGCCCCGAUGCUUACCCAGAGGUGGUGACGACCCCCUGAGCGUAACCAUCCUCUCAACUGGGAGAUACUAGAGACUGUGGGACGCCUCACCUCCAGACUCACCUCCUACGUCUCACCGUGGGUAGCUCCUCAUCCAUUCCCUCUCAUAGUCCCCCAGGCUGCCUCCUGGCUAAUCUAGGGUCCCUCUCUCUCACCCCAGACCUAAACCCCCAAAACUUAUCCACUUGUGCAGUCGUAUCUGGCCUCAAUAUCCUUUGGAUAACGACUCUAAAUGCCACUUAAUGGCACUCUAGAUCCCAAUAUUAUCAGGGAUCUUUUCAACUAUUGUGAGCGUUGAGGAAAAUGGAAAGAGAUAGCUUAAGUUCAGGCUUCUCCUCUCUGCAUUCCAUGCCCUCUCUCUGCAACCCCUGCUCUCCCGCACAAGUCCUCUCAGCCCUCACCUCCCCUGCGCCUGCUUCCAAGGGACAGAAGACCCUACCCAGGACUCCUCCUCCUUCCACCCAGUGGAUGUGCCCUGCCAUGCCAUGAUUCUCUUCCAACUGUCCCCUCGGCCUCUCUGCCCUCCUCUCCUCCUGCCACACACUCAUGGGCUGCCUCUACCCAACCUGCAUCUCUGUGUCCUCUACUCAAGGUGGCUGGGUUAGAUGGUGUCAUCCGGGGUUCACAUGCCUUUCUCUUUGUCACAUCUGUCACAGAAAAGCAGCUUGGGCCCUGUACUUCAAGUCCCACCACAGACAUCAGAGUUUCAAUAUCUGACUCAAUCAUAUGACUUGACCUUCCACAAUGUCCAUAUGACCUUGUCUAACAGUCUCCUGCCCGAGGAGCACAGGUGAGUUGGGAGCAAGCUAGAAAUUAUGCUGAUGGGGUACAUCAGACCUCCCCUGCCCAUCCGAUGGGCACUGAAAUGGCCCCUGGUCAGGACCCAGUUGGGAUUAGAAUUCACCUGGAGGAGUAACCAGUAGAAACCAACUCAUCCCUUGCCUCAUGGCAGGACUGAGAAAGGCAGCCCACAAGGCCAGAAAUUAUGAAAGGCUCCAGGAAGUCAUCCCAGAUAAGAAUGGAAACCUUCCGCAUUUCAGACCCCCUGACCAGGCUUUAUUACAAUAUACUAACCUGGACCUGAGGCUGCAGAUGGGAGACCACUACUAAUGACUACUUUUCCUCCCAGAGUUUCCCCGAUAUUAAGGCCAAACUAAGGCACUUCAACAGGGGGUCCUUAACUCCCCAAGCUGAGGUUUGGAAGUGCCCUUUAAGGUGUGUAAUGGGAGAGAUGAGAAGGUCCGGAAGCAUCUGUCCCAGGUUUCACUGGCCCACGGGAGGGCCCCUCGGGACUGCCCGGACCCUGUUUUAAAUGUGGUCAGACGGGUCACUGGCCUCAUACAUGUCCUAAGCCUCUUAAGACUCCAGGCCCUUGUCCUAAAUGCCAUCAGGAGGGACACUGGGUCGCUGACUGUCCCCAAGCCCAUAGCACCCCUGGCCAUCUGGCCCUUCUGGUUCCCCUUUCCAACUUAGGACUGGCUGCAGAGGACUGUUGAAGCCCAGGUCCCCAUUACUGACCACUACCAUCACUCCAUGGGAGCCCAGGGUAGCCCUGAGUGUUUCAGGUAGGCCUGUGUCCUUCCUCCUGGACAUCAGGGCUACAUAUUCAGUCCUCAAGGGGUUCUGUGGGCUACCACUCGUUCUGUGACCUCUACUGUCAGGGUAGAGGGUGAACCUGACCAGCCCUACAGAUACCUGGCCAAGUUAGUGCCUUUGAUGCUCUGGUUUUCACCCUCUCCUUUUUGGUCAUUCUACAGUGCCCUGUCCCCCUUAUGGGAAGGGCCUUCCUCACAAAGUUGGGGGCUACGCUUUCCUUCUCCCGUCAUAUACACUUCCAUCCAGACUCGCCGGCCACUCCCCUGAUCCUCACCCUGACCUGAGGGCCAUCCCCUAUUCGUCUGCCAGGGCCUCCCAUUACCCCCUUCCAAGUGACCCUACUGUCUGGGGAGCUUGAAGUCCUCUAUUGCCUCACACCAAGAGCCCCACAUCUGUCUCAAAGGCCCCCUCCAUUUUCUGGUCAAUCACAACACCCGCUCUCCCUAAAAACUCCUGGGCUUACACCUCUCAUUCAAGACUCUUGUGAAAGGGCUUCCUCAGACCUCCUCAUUCCCCUUAUAACACCCCCAUCUUGGCAGUGAAAAAGCCUAACGGUUCCUACCGCUUGGCCCAAGAGCUCCCUUCCAUGAACUCUGUGGUCGUCCCAGUCCAUCCCGUGGUGACCGAUCCUUGUACCCUUCUCUCCUCCACUCCUUCAGGGACCUCUUACUGCUCAGUGCUAGACCUGACAGGUGCCUUCUUCUCUGUCCCCUCCAUUCUGACUCUCAGGACACUUUCACCUUCCCAUGGACAGACCCUGAGUCUUAUAACUCACUCAGCUGACGGGGACAGUUUCCCCCAAGGGUUCCGGGACAGCCCUCAUACCUUCAGAGAGGCCUUGGCUAAGGACCUAGUUCCCCUACAUCUCACUCAGCCUAUGGUGCCACAGCAUGUUGAUGACCUCCUUCUUUGCAGUCCCCCCUUGAGGUCAGCCAUCAGGACACCUGUAAACUUCUCCACUUCCUUUCUGCCCGUGGCUAUAGGGCAUCUCCAUCCAAGGUACAGCUCUCCUUGGCAAUGGUGAUGGACCUAGGCCUCCUCCUGACCCUACACACGGCCAUGACGGUUGAUAGAUAGGGCCUCAUCACUAACAGACCAACCCCUCUACUGAGGAAGACAUUCUCUCCUUUCUGGGUGUGGCGGGAUUCCUCAGAGCUUGGAUUCCUAACUACUCCAUAUUGGCUAAGCCUGUAUAUGAUGCGGCCCAGGGCCCCCUCUCUGAACCCCUAUUGCCUCUGUUACAGAGCCCCUCACCAGGCUCUGCAGGCCUCCUCCAGGCCCCUCUCUCCACCUCCCUGAUCUCACUCACCCAUUUCACCUUCAGGUGGCUGAAAAGCAGGGAUUUGCUCUAAGGGUCCUCGGACACAUGCUGAGGCCAACCUUUGCCCCUGUGGCUUAUCUACUAAAGGGUCUUGACCCUACUGUUUGAGGAUGGGCUGCAGCCUCUCUACUCAUUAACAAGCCAAAGAAACUCACCUUGGGGCCCCACCCACCUAAAGGAUAUCCUCACCUACCAGGACUUACACUGCUUACCCCCUGUUGCCUGUUGUGCCUACAGGUUUCCCUGGUGGAAGAUCCAGUCUCCUCUCCACACCUGCUCACCUUUAAACCCUGCCUCUCUCCUCUAGCGGCUCAGGACGCUCCCCCUCUCCUCCUGUCACCAUUCAUGCACUGAGACUCUGAGGAGCUCCCUCUGCACCCGUCCCACACACAGGAGGGCCCUGCUCCAGGCCACAUGCACAGGGUCCACAGAUGGCCUCUCCUUCAUUCAGGGGGAGUCGUCAGGCAGCGUGUGCCACAGUCUCUCUCACCUCCACUGUGGAAGCUGCUCCCCUCCCCAGUAACUCAUCCAACCAGCAGGCUGAACUGGUGCCCUCGGAAGAGCCUUCACUGUGGCAACGGGGGCCUCCUCUAUGUCUACGCUGGCUCCAAACACGCCUUCCACACAUUCCUCUCCCUCUCUGCUAUUUGGACAGAGCGUGGAUUCCCUACCACCAAGGGGUCUUCAGUUAUAAUGCCCCUCUACCUCCCACCUCCUUCAGGGCUCAAAGUUUCCCUCUGCCACUGGAAUCAUGGGUGUGCCCAUGUCCCUGUGUGUGUGUCUGGGUGUGCCCAUGUCCCUGUGUGUGUGUCUGGGUGUGCCCAUGUCCCUGUGUGUGUGCCCAUGUCCCUGUGUGUGUGUGCCCAUGUCCCUGUGUGUGUGUGUGGGUAUGCCCAUGUCCCUGUCUGGGUGUGCCCAUGUCCCUGUGUGUGUGUGGGGGGGUAUGCCCAUGUCCCUGUGUGUGUCUGGGUGUGCCCAUGUCCCUGUGUGCAUGUCUGGGUGUGCCCAUGUCCACAUACACAGGACGCUGACCCCUGGGUGGGCCUCACUGUCCCCCUUUGUGGGUGCAGUGCCUGGACCCUGUGAGGGGCAGAGCCAGCCCAGUCAUCCAUAGCCCCUUGAAACCUGAGGGCCACAGGCUUGAUACAUCAUGUGCUCCCAGCCACAAGGGGCCUAGGGGGCUCUGGGGGCUGGGGUCACCCCACCCCAGUGCAGCAGGCUGAGGCGGCCAAGGAACCUGACUUGGCAGAGGCGCGAGGGGCAGAGAGGCACAGGAUCUGGUUGCUGCACACAGCAGAUGGCUGACUGGUACCGCAAUCUGGCUGGGCACAAAUAAUUGGGAGGUCACGAGCCACUUGUAGGUUCAAACAGGAACUACUUUAUUGCCCGACCUCCACGGGAACUCAACCGGAACUCAACGGGAACUCCGCUGGAACUCAACGGGAACUCCGCGAGAACUUAAAAGUGGCGGGCACCCAAGGUAGCAGGAGCCACCUUAUUGCCGGACAGCAGAGGUUUAUAUACACAACUGAAUACACAGCUUGUUUCAAUUUAGCAUCAUCCAGUUACAGCAAUCAGUCAUUAUCUUAAUAAUUAUACACAGCUUAACUGAAUUAUCAUCAUCUUAAUGGCUCACUGGCGUUACUUCUCCACCACUCCUUCUGGCAAAAUGCCAGGUGCCAUCUUGACUUGGCUGUGGCUCUCAACAUCUCCCCCUUCUGUUUAAUUAAACAACAAGUAUGUGGCUUAGGGACCGUGCCUGUUUUAGGUUGUCCAAUACUACAUAUGGUCCUUACCCGUCAUCGGAUGAGCUGACCUCAAGGCGUUAGCCUCCUGUCUUAGGUUGGUACCAUUGCAAUUAGAUCUUACCCGUCUUUAACUACCGGCCCAACACACUCAGCCAUACUUGUGGAUAACGACCAUCACAAGCCGAAGGGAGGAGGAUACAAAAUGCCACGAUACCAAGCCAAAUGACGGCUCCUUUUGGAAAAAUUGUACCACCGAUGACACCAUCAGCAAAGAUACCCCGGCACUACCACAAGUCGCUGCAACAACAGAUAGUUCACAAUGCAUACAAGUGAUACAUAGUCUAGGCAAGUUCUGCAAGCAGUUCAAAGCAGAGGAAUCUAUCAAUAUGUCCAUUUCCUCCCAAAGUAAAUCGACUCCUUGAUUGAGCACUACUUGUUGAGUUAUUAUUCAUUGAUGCAUCAGUUUAUACAGUUUGUUGUGAUAACUAUCGCAGAAGCUGUAGUUUGGUUUUAUCUUUGUCUUCACCGGCACUGGGAUGAAGAUAGGAAUUCUGGCAAUGAUGGUUAAAAAAAUUAUGUAGCAUUCCAGCAGGCACUAAAAAAAGCAAUUUUCUAAACAGUUUAGUAUCCUGAAUAGAAUUAAAUAUAAU
RNAcentral lists this long non-coding RNA (7377 nucleotides) under Marmota monax (woodchuck). The record is from RNAcentral. Lineage: Eukaryota; Metazoa; Chordata; Mammalia; Rodentia; Sciuridae.